Molecule: ribosomal RNA, 497 nt
Filed under: uncultured bacterium
Lineage: Bacteria
Description: partial 16S ribosomal RNA
Rfam family: Bacterial small subunit ribosomal RNA
Source: RNAcentral
GAUGAACGCUGGCGGCGUGCCUAAUACAUGCAAGUCGAGCGAACAGACGAGGAGCUUGUUCCUCUGACGUUAGCGGCGGACGGGUGAGUAACACGUGGAUACCCCACCUAUCACACUGGGAUAACUUCGGGAAACCGGAGCUAACACCGGACAAUAUAUUUACCCGUAUGGUUCAAUAGUGAAAGACGGCUUUGCUGUCACUUCUAGCUGGAUCUGCGCUGCAUUAGCUAGUUGGUACGGUAACGGCUUACCACGGCAAAGAUGCGUAGCCGACCUGAGAGGGGGAUAGGCGACCCGGGAGCUGAGACACGGUCCAGACUCCUACGAGAGGCAGCAGUAGGGAAUCUUCCGCAAUGGGGGGAAGCCUGACGGAGCGAGGGCGCGCGAGUGGUAGCGGUGUUGGGAGCGUGAAGCUGUGUUAUGAGGGAAAAACAAAUGUGUGAGGAACUGUGCACGUCUUGACGGUACCUGAUCAGAAAGCCACGGCUAACUACGUG